This 120-nucleotide ribosomal RNA is filed under the name uncultured bacterium. RNAcentral describes it as "partial 16S ribosomal RNA". It matches the Rfam family "Bacterial small subunit ribosomal RNA", at positions 215 to 334 of the family's 1533-position model. The record is from RNAcentral.
UCGCCGGAGGAUCGGCCCGCGUCUGAUUAGCUAGUUGGUGGGGUAAUGGCCCACCAAGGCGACGAUCAGUAGCUGGUCUGAGAGGAUGAUCAGCCACACUGGGACUGAGACACGGCCCAG